AGACUAACCAGACAGGGCCACCAGGUAAAGACUCUAACCAGACAGGGCCACCAGGUAAAGACUCUAACCAGACAGGGCCACCAGGUAAAGACUCUAACCAGACAGGGCCACCAGGUAAAGACUCUAACCAGGACGGGCCACCAGGUAAAGAUUCUAACCAGACAGGGCCACCAGGUAAAGACCCUAACCAGACAGAGCCACCAGGUAAAGACUCUAACCAGACAGGGCCACCAGGUAAAGACUCUAACCAGACAGGGCCACCAGGUAAAGACUCUAACCAGACAGGGCCACCAGGUAAAGACUCUAACCAGGACGGGCCACCAGGUAAAGAUUCUAACCAGACAGGGCCACCAGGUAAAGACCCUAACCAGACAGAGCCACCAGGUAAAGACUCUAACCAGACAGGGCCACCAGGUAAAGAUUCUAACCAGACAGGGCCACCAGGUAAAGACUCUAACCAGACAGGGCCACCAGGUAAAGACUCUAACCAGACAGAGCCACCAGGUAAAGACUCUAACCAGACAGGGCCACCAGGUAAAGACUAACCAGACAGGGCCACCAGGUAAAGACUCUAACCAGACAGGGCCACCAGGUAAAGACUCUAACCAGGCAGGGCCACCAGGUAAAGAUUCUAAUCAGGCAGGGCCACCAGAUGAUGAAUUGCAGAUGGAGGUGUUGGAGCUGUGUGGUGCUCCUUGUCCCAGUCCAAGCCCACAGAGGGAGCAGCUGUUCAGCCACUUAUCUCCACUCCCCUCUCUGAAGGACCUGCAGCAGGAGCCCUCUCUGAACUGUCCUAGCCCGGUCCGCUGUCCCACCUCUCCCCAUGCCCAGCUCCACCCCUCCCCCCGGCCCAGCGGCAGCCCCACAUCCUCCCCAGCAGAGCCUCAUCUCCUGGGUUCUGGCUUCUACCAGCUGCAGCUGGGGCCCUUCCUUCCAGACGGCCUGUCCAUGGGGCCAGAGGGUGGGGCCUCUCAGAGGCUGAAGGUGGACUUCUCCCUGCCCUCCGUCCCCCAGCCCCCGCCCUUGCCUGCCAUUGCCCCAUCCUCCUCCGUCACUUCUGACUUUGGGGCCAUCAGCAGUUACCUGUGUCCCUCGGCCCUGUGCCCCCCUCCCGUCCAGCACUCCGGCUCGCUCACCAAGUGA
RNAcentral lists this long non-coding RNA (1143 nucleotides) under Oncorhynchus mykiss (rainbow trout). RNAcentral describes it as "lncRNA (ENSOMYG00000060602.1)". Lineage: Eukaryota; Metazoa; Chordata; Actinopteri; Salmoniformes; Salmonidae. The record is from RNAcentral.